GCCUGGGCAGGAAGCUGGGGUGAGCCAGGAGCACCUGUGAUAAGGAGACAAGAGGGGGAAACAAAGAAAAUGAAAAUCCAACAAGGAAGGGCAUGUCGUAGAGAGCAGGAGCCAACCCGAAGAGCGUGCAGUGGCGAACAGAAUAGGUAACAGGAUUGGCGGACAGCCCGCAACGUACAGCAAAUACUGAUGACGGAUAAAUGGGGGAGAAGGGACACCCCCUGAAGAACUUCACACAGCUGUUCUUCCUGCAGGAGCAGAGCACAGCCUUCCACUGAGUAUAAAGCCAGUGACACUCAUCCAAGGGACGGAAAGGGAACCGGCUCAACCAGGGAGUGGAAAGGUGUGGCACGGCCAGAGGUGGGCCAGCACCCCAGUGGUGGCAAUGUGGUGCAGUGACACAGAUCCCUGCCCUGGGACUCUGCCCUCAGCCUGUCUCUGCCCUCCAAGUGACUCCUGGAACUGUGGUGCCCCUGUGGCAUCACCCUCCUGGCCAGGAGAUACCAACAGAAGACUUGCCAUGCAGCUUCCACGCCAAAAUGCAGGCAGUGGCCCCUCAGGACAGGGCGAGCACCAG
RNAcentral lists this long non-coding RNA (577 nucleotides) under Marmota monax (woodchuck). The record is from RNAcentral. Lineage: Eukaryota; Metazoa; Chordata; Mammalia; Rodentia; Sciuridae.